AGUGCAAGGUCCCGAGUUUGAUCCCCGGUACAAAAGGAAAAAAAAUGGAGUGAUGUAUAAAGCUCAGAGCACACAAGGCGGGGAUGGGGUCACAUUAAGGAGUGUGGGCUUCUUUUUCCUUAAAUGUAAUGAGAGGUCAUGGACUUAUUUUAAAAUAGGUGAGUAGUAUAACCUGCUUAGUAUAAAACAUCAUUCCCGUCACUGUGUGAAGAAUUUCUGGCAAGGGCAGUAAGAUGGCAGGGAGCAUCCUUAGGAGACUACUAGGGUCACCCAGUCUAACAAUGAUGGUGGUUUGGGAGAGAAGUGAAUGGUUAGGAGAUAUAUUUUGGGGUAAAAUUCUUAGAAUGCAGUAAUGGGUUCUUUUAGGGUUGUAAGAGAGAGAGGUGUGAGAAGAAUGAGAAGUACAGAAUAAUCAUUUAGGAAAGUGAUUAACUGAGUUUAUUAGAAGUACACAAUUAGGUUGCCAAGUGAAGUCUGUGUUGGAGAUAUUGACUUUUCAACUAUACCAGUCAGCUCAGCUGUGUGUAUUCUCCAGCUGGAGCAGAUGGUUGGGUUCAUGGAGGGCUGGAGUUUGGUAUGUUUGGCAGAAGGGACAGAAAGAAACAAGGUAAUUGCUAUACUGUUUACAAAGGAGUUAUAGGAAGGACAGUAUGUGCCUAAAUAAAGGGAGAUGGAAAGCAAAUGGGGCUGAUGGGCAUGGGGUUGUGCCUUGGAAGCCUUAACAAGAUGGAAGAUGGUGGAUGUGCUUGAGUCACAUAACUUUGAAAAUGUCUGAUUUUGUGAUUUUCAUAGGCUGCUGAGGUGGAGAGUUCAAUGCACUAACAGCUUUGUAUUUUCGGUGGGUCAUUCAAGAUGUGUUAAUGUUGCCUCAGAUGAUGACAGGAGUUACGGCAGACUGGAAGACUGCCAACCAGGUGCUGAAAACUGAAACAAAUGAAGAGAGGUGAGAGCUGAUGACAGCAGUAAGGAGGAGGAAGGUGUGAUUCAGCUGAAUGGUAUGAGACUUGAGGGACAGGGAAUAUUUACAGGAAGAAACAGAUUACAUCUCUGAAAGGAGGCUAAAAGUGACCUGACUACCAAACCUGAGGUGAGUGAUGGGAGUAAUAAGUAGGUUGGGCUGAAGGCUGACAGGAUGAGGGAUUUCUGGAGAGGAUUGAUGUCUGGCAGAGAAUUUACUCCUGAAGGGCCUUAGGAAGAAGGUGGGUAUUUAGUCUAACACUAAAGUCUCAAAGUUUUGCUUUUUUAAAAAAGAUUUUAACAACAAAUACAGUAACUUUUGGAAGCAUUUUCUAUUUGUAAAGCUGUGUUUUCAUUUAAAAAUUGGUAAUAAUUGUAUGCAGCAAAUUCAUGAAUACAGGGUUUCUGUUGGGGAUGAGGAAGUUUUGGGACUGGACAGCGGUAAUGACUGCCCAACAUGGUGCAUGCAUUCAGUGGCAUUGGAUUGCAUGCUGAAAAGUGGUUAAGAGGGUCCUUUAGUCUGUUUAACCUGCUCUAACAAAAUACGUGGACUGGGUGGUCUAUAAACAAUAGACAUUCAUUUUUCACUGUGCUGAAGACUGGGAAGUCUGGAAUGAAGGCACCAGCAGAUUCGGGGUCUGGUGAGGACCCAUUUCCUGCUUUGUAGAUGGCGCCUCGUCAUUGUGUCCUCACCUGAAGGAAGUAUUAAGGGAACGGUCUAGGCUCUUAUUUAUUUAUGUAUUUAUUUACUUAGCGCAUAUUAGUAAUACAGAGUGAUGCGUUUUCUUUUGGUAUACUGGUACACGCGUAUAACAUACUUUGAUUAUUUUCACACCCCUCUCUGUACUCUUACCCCAUUCCUCCCUCCUCCCAACUCUCUUUCUCUCUCCAACACAGUGUCUGUUUUAUGAGGUCACUAUUCCCAUUCAUGAGGGCUCCCCUCUUAUGACUUAAUUACUUUCCAAAGUCCCUACCUCCUCACUCAUCACUUUGGUGAUUUGGUUUCAAGAUAUGAAGGGGGGGAUGAGAGGAGAUCAACAUUUAGACCCUAACAAAUGGGAAAAGGGAAAAAAUCCCUUUUAAAAAACUAGACAUGCCAGAUGUCGUGAUGCAUCCCUGCAAUUCCAUCAUGCUGGGAGGCAGAAACAGGAGGAUGCUGGAGCCUAGGACAGUCACCCUUCUACAGAGCGGGUGCCUCCUGCCAUUUCCCACUCUUCGGAGCCACCCUGCUGCUUUCCCUGUUGUUUGUCUUCUCAGAAUUAGUCCAUGGGUGAAAUAAUUGUGUAACCAGGUCUCUACAAAGAUCAGAAAAUGACCGACUCAAUAGGGGCUUGCAUUUCAAGAAAAGUGGGAGAAAACACAUUUCUUAGUGGGUGUGAAGCUGCAUAUUUAAUGUGUGAAUAAAAUGUCCCAAGAAUACAGUCUGGCCCGCUGCAGUCAUUUUCGUCACCUGCCCACCUCUUGAGGGCUUCCUUGAUAUAUAUAAACUGUUUAUUAUUUUGAAUUUUAAAUAAUUUGUGUAAAAUUGAAACCUAACCAAAAUUGAAGCCCACAGAAAAUCCCUAACUUUCAUCAAGCUGAGAAUACCCUGACUUUGAGCCUUUGGGAUAACAAUGUGGGGUAUUAAUUUAUUGAUUGAUUAAAUUAUUAUUCUCAGUAUUUGUUCAUGUACCAAACAAGGUACAUUUUUUCUCUGUGUAUGUGAAAGGGAUCACGUAGAUCUGUCUUAUUCAUGGGCACUUAAAUGUACUGCUUGUGCCAAGUCCAUCAGUAGAGAUGGGAACAUUAAAUCAUUGUGUGUCAACAGCACCGUGCAAAAGAAAAAGAUUCUGGUACACAGAAUGGGCACAUCCUGUCACCAGAAAAGAGCGCUGGCUUCUAAAGUGAAAAGAGAGUAAACACAAGCUAUUUUGGCACUGAUUAAUUCUCACUGAAAAUAUCCAAUACUUGUAAACUCCAAGAACUAAAAUGUAGCUCUUUACCUGUUGGCUGAACUUGCCUUUGGCUAUCUUCACUUAGUAAUAAAAGCACAUUGAAUUACCAUACCACUGAAUGAGAGUCACAAACAACACUUACAUGAAAAUAUCUAAUUUCUAGUUAUAAAUCACAGAUGGUUCAGGAUUUGUUGACCACAGUGCCCUGCUGCUGCCCUGAGACAUCAAGAAAUACACCCAUGAGCCAGGCCAAAUCAUAUAUAAGCAUAGAGGGUACAUUUGUUUUCUAAGGCUGCUUAACAAAAUACCACAAACUGGGUGGCUUUAAACAACAGAGAUCUAUCCUUUUAUAGUCCUGGACAUUAAAACAUCUGAAAGCCUUUAUUUAUA
This is a non-coding RNA of Heterocephalus glaber (naked mole-rat), 3281 nucleotides long. The record is from RefSeq and is a predicted model, not a curated record. Lineage: Eukaryota; Metazoa; Chordata; Mammalia; Rodentia; Bathyergidae.